UUUAGAGACCACCUCACUAAUCAAAGUUUUUCCCUUACUCUUUCCAGCCAUUUUUCUUUGUAACCACAACACCAAUUUUUGGAUUAUACAUACAUCUGUUUGGUACGUCAGGAGGUUUUUUACCCUGCGGGACAGUAGACCUUUGUGAUAUCCUGGGAGAAGGAAAGAUUUGCCUUCCUUUUAUAAGUGGUAGAAAUAGCUACUGGGAAAGAGAAACAGUGUGGUACUUCAACUGUUGACCUCAGACAAGUCAUUUUAAGGAAACAAUACACCUGGCCUGAAGAUUGUCUGAAGCCCCUGGCAAGGUGGUGCAGGCUGCAUUUGGAGUAGCUCAGCUUGGAAGCCAGUCAGAUUGUGGCAGCAACCGACUAAAGAAUGUUGUUCUGUAGAACCGAUGGGAACAGAAAGUGACUCUAAACUCUGAUUCUCUGAGGAAAGAGAAAGUAUGUUUGUGCACACUAUGCCAGUGAGGGGCCUGCUCUGUUUGGUGCAAAGUUGUUAAAACAACAUUUUUGGAGCUGAUCAUAACUUGUUGGUGGUCCUUCUCUUAGCAAAUUAAUUGUGUCAUACUUUUUCAAGAUAACUUGCCUCAUGCUGAUUGCUUAUCUUUCUGUGCAUAAUUUUCCUCACAUAUAUUUUCACAUGAUGGUGAGGUAUUUGGAUAGCAUUUUAUGCUUUUUACCAUGUUUUGCAGAUGUUAUGUCAGAUUCAUAGCAACCCCAGGAAACGUAUCUUACAGAAUUGAUCUGGAAGGAUGUGCACUUGUCAGAAACAGCACUUCAUUUUAUUCCCUUGUUUAUGAGAGACAUAAACUAGCUCACUGUAUUCAGAAGAAA
Long non-coding RNA from Cercocebus atys (sooty mangabey), 836 nucleotides. RefSeq lists it as uncharacterized. The record is from RefSeq and is a predicted model, not a curated record. The transcript is spliced from 3 exons. NCBI's taxonomy places the organism in Eukaryota, Metazoa, Chordata, Mammalia, Primates, Cercopithecidae.